CCUCCAAGGGCUUUUUCAGUUAUAAUUAUUAUUUAUUACGCUGGUAACGUCAUAAUUAGAACCCCAAGCGUGGUGGGGGACUCUGCUUCUCCUCGUGCUAUAUAGUCACCGGGGGAAGGUAGACCCCCCCACCAGUAAAUUACAAAAACAAAUGUAGUAGGAUGGUCUAACCAGAAGAAUUGGGGAGGUAGUUACUGACCUCAUCUAAAGGCUGGUGGCGGCCCCUGUGGCUGUUUCAUCAUCGGUGCUCAGAAGAGGUGCUCUGUCAGGUCUCUCAAAUGAGCAGUACGCGGUUUUGCUCUUUUUGUUUUGUAGUUCUGGAUCAGAUACCACCUGAGGAGCCACUGAGAAACGUUUAAGAAACUUUGCUGAUGCAGGGCCACAUCCGGCUUUUGUCCUCUAGGUUUAGAAAGCACCGAUACCAGCAGGAAAUCAAGAAGGAAAAUGAAAUCCAUCACUACUGCAAAAACAAAGAAAGGAUCAUCUGUUGUUCAGAAGGGUUCAGUUUUAUUACCAGAUUUAUCUUCUAGUCAUAUGAAGAGAAAAAAUAGAAAACAGUUAUCAGAAAAUGUAAAUGAACCUAUGGUUUUAAAACCAGCAACUCUAGUGGAAUCUUACUUAGAUCAGUCUUUACAGAUUUCAUCUCUAAAUAAAGAUAGUAUGCUGGAUGAACUGCGGAUGCUAGGUGAAAUCACUAAACAUCUAAAUCAGAUUAUAAACUCAUUUGAAGAUAUUUAUAAAAAAGAUGUUGAAGUGAAAGAGGAAGAAGAGGUACAAGAAGGCUCAAGUGUAUGUAUAUUAGAAUCUUUGGCUAAGUGGUUUGGAAAAGAAGCCCAACUGAUGGAAGAACUAGGAGAAGAACAACACGCUGUGGAUUCUCUACUUCCUAUGGCUGACAAAAGUAUAAUGGAAGGCAUUUCUAAACUGACUGUGUGUGUCCAGAGGCUUGAAAGACUGAAGAGUUGUCUUCAGAAUCUUGCAGGACAUGCCCCUCCUUCUGUGGUUAAGAAAGAACAUAAGAAAGACCUGUAA
RNAcentral lists this long non-coding RNA (1032 nucleotides) under Struthio camelus australis. Its description in RNAcentral is "lncRNA (ENSSCUG00000007877.1)". Lineage: Eukaryota; Metazoa; Chordata; Aves; Struthioniformes; Struthionidae. The record is from RNAcentral.